UACAGAGGUCUCAAGCGUUGUUCGGAUUCAUUGGGCGUAAAGGGUGCGUAGGUGGCGAGGCAAGUCGGAUGUGAAAUCCCGGGGCUUAACCCCGGAACUGCAUUCGAUACUGCCUUGCUCGAGUACUGGAGAGGAGACUGGAAUUUACGGUGUAGCAGUGAAAUGCGUAGAUAUCGUAAGGAAGACCAGUGGCGAAGGCGAGUCUCUGGACAGUUACUGACACUGAGGCGCGACAGCGUGGGGAGCAAACAGG
This 253-nucleotide ribosomal RNA is filed under the name uncultured bacterium. Its description in RNAcentral is "partial 16S ribosomal RNA". It matches the Rfam family "Bacterial small subunit ribosomal RNA", at positions 524 to 776 of the family's 1533-position model. The record is from RNAcentral.